GGAGGCGGACGAGGCGUGGCGCGUGACGCACCACUACUUCCACUUCGACCCGCUGCACGGCAACCACCGCGUGGAGGACGUGAACUUCCAGUGGACGGACGGCGUGUUCGGCGUGGCGCUGUCGCGACCCGACGCGCAGGGCGAGCGCACCGUCUUCUUCCACGCGCUGUCCAGCCUGCGCGAGUUCUCGGUGCCGGCCGGCGUGCUGCGCAACCGCACGGCGGCGCUCGCCACCGGGCCCGACUCCUACUACCACUACCGGGACCUCGGCUUCAAGGGCAACGACACGCAGGCCACCGCCUCCUACCUCGACCUCGACACCGGCGUGCUCUUCUUCACGCAGCUGAACCGCAACGCCGUGGCGUGCUGGAACACGCAGAAGCCCCUGGAGCCGGCCAACGUGCACUUGCUGGUCAGCGACGGCGAGCGCUUCUCCUUCCCCAACGACCUCAAGGUGGACGCCGAGGGCACCCUCUGGGUGCUCACCGACCGGCUGCCCGUCUACGUGUACAAGGGCGGCCUCGACCCCAACACGGUCAACUACCGCAUCUUCUCCGCGGCCGUCAAAGACCUCAUCAAGGGCACCGUCUGCGAGGCGUAGUUGGUCGCCGAGGCUCGACGAUGACGCCGCAGAACUGUCCAGCGCAGCACUUCUAUUCAGCUCCCCUCCUCGCUCUAUUGUUGUGCUAACAACUCUGUGAAGGCAUAUAGUCAUCUGAGGACCUGAACUUUUCAUCAGUUAUUUUUUUUUCUUCAACACUCUCGUCUCCGCUAGUCGAAACCUCUUAGUCGGCGAAACUCUAAUACUUUUUUUUUCUGCUCGUGGAGCAACGAUUAGUCAAAAGAGCACUUGGAACUCGCCUUAUUAAAGGACUAGACGCUUUAUCACACCGUACCCAAUCUAUCAAAGCAUCAGUAUUGUUGUAUCAAAUUAUAAUGUGGGUUUAGAUCCAUCAAGACCUGACUUUUGGCAGAAAAAACGCUUACGGUGAUCAGUGAGGUGUGUUUGGAUAAACGUAGCUUAAGGUAAAGUCUGGGUUCCAAUCUUUUAAUCUCCGUGAGGAGCAGAAUAUUCCUCUGGUGAACAGACUGUUUUAUUCAUGAGCUACAAAAACAUUUGUUCUGCGGUUCGUAAUCAUCAAAUUAAAAUGUUUUCGUUAAUAGCUCAUAAUAAAAGGACGUCCAUUAAAAUGGAAAAAAGUAAUCUUGCAUGCGAAAUACAAGAUAAUAAGUGCCAAAAUAUACGCACAUAUCUUUAAAAAAUUAUAUGUAAGCUCAUUUUCUUCCAUUUAGAGGUACACUGUCACUUUUUAACAUGAAAAAGAAGUACGAAAAAGCUACGGAACAGUUACAGCGUGAAAACUGCGAAUGAGAACGCAGCGUUAUUCUUUCCCCGUACUAUUUGAGGAACUCAACACUCCUUUAAAAUGACCCGUAGUAUUUGAGGAACUUAGCACUCCUUUAAAAUGAAAUACGUACCUGUCCUUUAUUUCUGGAGGCAACAACUGCAACAUAUUACACUUAUGUCCAAUACGUGUUUGCUAUGUGCCACUUUUUGCUAUAAUGCUAUAUGUUUCGAUACAAGAAAUGUGCUAUAGUUUGAGCAAGUGCAGAAAACGUAAAUACUUAAGACAUAUACGACAUACUUUAUAAAUGCCUUUUGUUUCAGUGACCUUAUGUUUGAUAAUGGGCGUAUCCAGUAUUAAAUCACCAAGUCGUUUGUCUGUGUGCUCUAAUUUUAUCGAUAAAAUUUAGACACCGAAUUUCCCAUUAACAGUGCAGUCACUGCCGUGUGACUUCAUGCUAAUCUAUCAUUCCUCUGACGAAUGUAACAGUUCAGUAGUUCAG
RNAcentral lists this long non-coding RNA (1848 nucleotides) under Schistocerca americana (American grasshopper). RNAcentral describes it as "uncharacterized LOC124544879". The record is from RNAcentral. Lineage: Eukaryota; Metazoa; Arthropoda; Insecta; Orthoptera; Acrididae.